GAGGUGAAAUCUGAAAAUAACAAACUGUGACUAAACGGCGUUGAAGCUUACUCACGGCCGCCGCCACCUCCAUUAACGAGGGGCACCAUUCUUACCUUCAUUUCUUUCUUCAUUUCAUCGGCUGGUGCUCAAUCUUUGUUUCGGAUCGGGUCGGAUCGGAUCUGAUCACUGGGUUUUUUCUUAGAGCUUGAACUUCAGUGAACAUCAUCAUCAUCAUCAUCAUCAGCGAUUCAGCGGCGGCAUCUUCAUCCUCUCCGGCCUCCACCGUCUCCUCCGCCACAAACCCGCCACCGUCUCCGCGUCUCUGUCGUCUCCUCCGCCACAAACCCCCCACCCUCCGCCGGCAUCUUCAUCAUCGACGGGAUCUUCAUCAGCGACGGCAUCUUUUCCGGUGAAGGUGGUUUAUUCUGAACACAUAACAUAUGGCAACCGAGCAAACAAGCAAUGAAGGUCAACAAGAAAAGGGCAACGAGAACGCGGUACCAAACGCCAGCCUUUUAACCAUUGGAGGAUUUAGAAAUGCAGUAAUGGAGCAGUAUCGUAAAGCGAAAGAGAACGCUGAAGCCUACCCUUACGUAUGGGGUUCAUAUCUUAUUGUAUACGGCGGGUUUGGUCUAUGGGUGGCAUACAGAUACAAAAAGCUUCGAAACACUGAAGACAGAGUUAGAGCCCUUCAAGAAAAACUUCGUACCCUUCGUCAAGAAAGAGACCCGACAAACUCAUCUGCAGUGACUGAAAAGGUGAAAUCAUCUACGGAUAAAUAGUAUGCAGGUAAUCGCUUUGAAUCGAAUCCGUUUUUCUAGAAAGUGCUUUAGCGUAUUAGAUUUACGCUGACAACUGUGUAGAUGAGUAAAGUUUUGAUUUUUAACAUCUUUUGAAGAGAUGAAUCUUGUUAUAAAUGACAAUUUGGGGUUUGUUAUAAAUGAAUCUUGUUCACGGAGUUUAA
This is a long non-coding RNA of Helianthus annuus (common sunflower), 946 nucleotides long. RefSeq lists it as uncharacterized. The transcript has 3 exons. NCBI's taxonomy places the organism in Eukaryota, Viridiplantae, Streptophyta, Magnoliopsida, Asterales, Asteraceae. The record is from RefSeq and is a predicted model, not a curated record.